This 341-nucleotide unclassified non-coding RNA is filed under the name soil metagenome. Its description in RNAcentral is "partial contains 5.8S ribosomal RNA, internal transcribed spacer 2, and large subunit ribosomal RNA". The stretch from base 1 to 120 matches the Rfam family "5.8S ribosomal RNA", at positions 35 to 154 of the family's 154-position model. The record is from RNAcentral.
GAUGAAGAACGCAGCGAAAUGCGAUAAGUAGUGUGAAUUGCAGAAUUCAGUGAAUCAUCGAAUCUUUGAACGCACAUUGCGCCCUUUGGUAUUCCAAAGGGCAUGCCUGUUCGAGCGUCAUUUGUACCCUCAAGCUUUGCUUGGUGUUGGGCGUCUUGUCUCUAGCUUUGCUGGAGACUCGCCUUAAAGUAAUUGGCAGCCGGCCUACUGGUUUCGGAGCGCAGCACAAGUCGCACUCUCUAUCAGCAAAGGUCUAGCAUCCAUUAAGCCUUUUUUUCAACUUUUGACCUCGGAUCAGGUAGGAAUACCCGCUGAACUUAAGCAUAUCAAUAAGCGGAGGA